GAUGAACGCUGGCGGUGUGCCUAACACAUGCAAGUCGAACGGAAAGGCCCUGCUUUUGUGGGGUGCCCGAGUGGCGAACGGGUGAGUAACACGUGAGUAACCUGCUCUUGACUUUGGGAUAACUUCAGGUAACUGGGGCUAAGACCGGAUAGGAUCUCCCGUUGCAUGGUGGGGGUUGGAAAGUCUCGGCGGUUGGGGAUGGACUCGCGGCUUAUCAGCUUGUUGGUGGGGUAGUGGCUUACCAAGGCUUUGACGGGUAGCCGGCCUGAGAGGGUGACCGGCCACAUUGGGACUGAGAGACGGCCCAGACUGCUACGGGAGGCAGCAGUGGGGAAUAUUGCACAAUGGGCGGGAGCCUGAUGCAGCAACGCCGCGUGCGGGAUGACGGCCUUCGGGUUGUAAACCGCUUUCGCCUGUGACGAAGCGUGAGUGACGGUAAUGGAUAAAGAAGCACCGGCUAACUACGUG
RNAcentral lists this ribosomal RNA (468 nucleotides) under uncultured bacterium. RNAcentral's name for it is "partial 16S ribosomal RNA". It matches the Rfam family "Bacterial small subunit ribosomal RNA", at positions 28 to 507 of the family's 1533-position model. The record is from RNAcentral.